CCUACGGGAGGCAGCAGUGGGGGAUAUUGCACAAUGGGGGGAACCCUGAUGCAGCGACGCCGCGUGUGGGAAGACGGUCCUCUGGAUUGUAAACCACUGUCCCCAGGGACGAAAAUGACGGUACCUGGGGAGGAAGCUCCGGCUACCUACGUGCCAGCAGCCGCGGUAAUACGUAGGGAGCGAGCUUUGUCCGGAAUUACUGGGUGUAAAGGGAGCGUAGGCGGGGAUGCAAGUUGGGUGUCAAAACUACCGGCUCAACUGGUAGUCGCACUCAAAACUGCAGCGCUUGAGUGAAGUAGAGGCAGGCGGAAUUCCUAGUGUAGCGGUGAAAUGCGUAGAUAUUAGGAGGAACACCAGUGGCGAAGGCGGCCUGCUGGGCUUUGACUGACGCUGAGGCUCGAAAGUGUGGGGAGCAAACAGGAUUAGAUACCCGUGUAGUC
RNAcentral lists this ribosomal RNA (440 nucleotides) under uncultured bacterium. RNAcentral describes it as "partial 16S ribosomal RNA". It matches the Rfam family "Bacterial small subunit ribosomal RNA", at positions 338 to 795 of the family's 1533-position model. The record is from RNAcentral.